CCCAGACAGCCAGGAUGUUGGCUUAGAAGCAGCCAUCAUUUAAAGAAAGCGUAAUAGCUCACUGGUCGAGUCGGCCUGCGCGGAAGAUGUAACGGGGCUAAACCAUGCACCGAAGCUGCGGCAGCGACGCUGAUGCGUUGUUGGGUAGGGGAGCGUUCUGUAAGCCUGUGAAGGUGUGUCGUGAGGCAUGCUGGAGGUAUCAGAAGUGCGAAUGCUGACAUAAGUAACGAUAAAGCGGGUGAAAAGCCCGCUCGCCGGAAGACCAA
Molecule: ribosomal RNA, 266 nt
Filed under: Salmonella enterica
Lineage: Bacteria; Pseudomonadati; Pseudomonadota; Gammaproteobacteria; Enterobacterales; Enterobacteriaceae
Also listed under: 3 other names
Description: partial 23S ribosomal RNA
Rfam family: Bacterial large subunit ribosomal RNA
Source: RNAcentral